Molecule: ribosomal RNA, 497 nt
Filed under: uncultured bacterium
Lineage: Bacteria
Description: partial 16S ribosomal RNA
Rfam family: Bacterial small subunit ribosomal RNA
Source: RNAcentral
GAUGAACGCUGGCGGCGUGCCUAAUACAUGCAAGUCGAGCGAACGGACGAGAAGCUUGCUUCUCUGAUGUUAGCGGCGGACGGGUGAGUAACACGUGGAUAACCUACCUAUAAGACUGGGAUAACUUCGGGAAACCGGAGCUAAUACCGGAUGAUAUUUUGAACCGCAUGGUUCAAAAGUGAAAGACGGUCUUGCUGUCACUUAUAGAUGGAUCCGCGCUGCAUUAGCUAGUUGGUAAGGUAACGGCUUACCAAGGCAACGAUGCGUAGCCGACCUGAGAGGGUGGUCGGCCACCCUGGAACGGAACCAGGGUCAUGACUACUACGGGAGGCAGCAGUAGGGAACCUUCCGCAAUGGGCGAAAGCCUGACGGAGCAACGCCGCGUGAGUGAUGGAGGUCUUGGGAUCGUAAAACUCUGUUAUUAGGGAAGAACAUAUGUGUAAGUAACUGUGCACAUCUUGACGGUACCUAAUCAGAAAGCCACGGCUAACUACGUG